This 253-nucleotide ribosomal RNA is filed under the name uncultured bacterium. Its description in RNAcentral is "partial 16S ribosomal RNA". It matches the Rfam family "Bacterial small subunit ribosomal RNA", at positions 524 to 776 of the family's 1533-position model. The record is from RNAcentral.
UACGAAGGGGGCUAGCGUUGUUCGGAUUUACUGGGCGUAAAGCGCACGUAGGCGGAUUGGUCAGUUAGGGGUGAAAUCCUGGAGCUCAACUCCAGAACUGCCUUUGAUACUGGCAAUCUCGAGUCCGGAAGAGGUGAGUGGAACUCCUAGUGUAGAGGUGGAAUUCGUAGAUAUUAGGAAGAACACCAGUGGCGAAGGCGGCUCACUGGUCCGGUACUGACGCUGAGGUGCGAAAGCGUGGGGAGCAAACAGG